RNAcentral lists this ribosomal RNA (737 nucleotides) under Triatoma migrans. RNAcentral's name for it is "SSU rRNA". It matches the Rfam family "Eukaryotic small subunit ribosomal RNA", at positions 500 to 1151 of the family's 1831-position model. Lineage: Eukaryota; Metazoa; Arthropoda; Insecta; Hemiptera; Reduviidae. The record is from RNAcentral.
GCCCCGUAAUCGGAAUGAGUACACUUUAAAUCCUUUAACAAGGAUCCAUUGGAGGGCAAGUCUGGUGCCAGCAGCCGCGGUAAUUCCAGCUCCAAUAGCGUAUAUUAAAGUUGUUGCGGUUAAAAAGCUCGUAGUUGGUUCUGCGUGCCGCGCUGUCGGUUCGCCGCCUGUCGGUGUAACUGGCAUGUCGCGGCAUGUCCUGUCGGUGGUGAACGGAGUCCACAAUGCUACAUAGGCUUCAUUGCCGAUGUUAGCGUUGUGUGUACUUCCGUUGGCCGAUCUCUCCUACUUCGGUGCUCUUAAACGAGUGUCGAGGUAGGCCGACACGUUCACUUUGAACAAAUUAGAGUGCUUAAAGCAGGCUGAAAUAUCUGCCUGAAUAGUGGUGCAUGGAAUGAUAAAACAGGACCUCGGUUCUAUUUUGUUGGUUUUAGGAAUAUGAGGUAAUGAUCAAUGUGGACUGGCGGGGGCAUUCGUAUUGCGACGUUAGAGGUGAAAUUCUUGGAUCGUCGCAAGACGCACUAGAGCGAAAGCAUUUGCCAAGUAUGUCUUAAUUGAUCAAGAACGAAAGUUAGAGGUUCGAAGGCGAUCAGAUACCGCCCUAGUUCUAACCAUAAACGAUGCCAGCCAGCGAUCCGCCGAUGUUCCUUUAAUGACUCGGCGGGGAGCUUCCACCCGGGAAACCAAAGCUUUUGGGUUCCGGGGGAAGUAUGGUUGCAAAGCUGAAACUUAAAGGA